Non-coding RNA from Cyanistes caeruleus (blue tit), 5725 nucleotides. The record is from RefSeq and is a predicted model, not a curated record. NCBI's taxonomy places the organism in Eukaryota, Metazoa, Chordata, Aves, Passeriformes, Paridae.
GAGAAACAACACAUCCUGAACUCUGGGAUUGGCAGGUAAAAAGCCUUUCCAUCUCCUCUGACCUGUUGUUCGUUAAUUUACAGAGGGAGCACCCAGGAAAGACAGAAAGGAGUUCCAUAUACAGGAGGAGAAAAAGAAGGGACCAUCCACUUUCUUUCUGUCUUGUAGUCUUUAAGUCCACACAUGUAACUGCUUAGGGUCACCUUGCAUCUGUCCAGAGCACAAAGUUGGAGUGAGGGAGAAGCAGGGAAGACACAAAGCUCUCUCUCCCUCCCUCCUUCCUUCCCUCCUUUGCAGUCCAUAGGUAGAGCAGCAUUUGUCUUCUCUGCUGGGUGCAGAGAACAGUGUCCUUUGGUUCCACAGAAGAGUAACACCAUGGAAAGAGGAAACAGUUUGUGUAGGUUGCAAGUGCAAUAGGGUGUUCGUUUGAGUUUGUCUAAAAGAGAACAAAGCUGCCUGUUUUCCUUCCUCCACCACAUGAGCAGAAACUAAGCUCUACUGAGGUCAUGUACUUGUACAGGUACUAGACAUUGAAGGUUUGGAUGCAGAGUCUUACUGGAAGUAGAAAGUGACUCAUCUGAGAGCAGUCAGUAUACACUGCUAAUUUAGUUUGUUGUCUGGGAUCAAAUAUUGUUUGCUUUGUUCAUGCAAUAUAUCUGCUAGACUAGUAUGCUAAAAGACCCUGCUAGACUAAUAUGAUGGGUUGAUGAAGGGGAAAGAAUGGAAUGGUGAAUAAGAGAAAUAGGAACAGAAGCAAGAAGGCCACUAACUUCAUUGUAAUGUUAUUUUAUCAAGGGAAUAACUAGUAGACAGUAUGCACUUUUAUUUUCUUUAAAAAACCUCAAAACAGCAAAACAAACAACAAAAAGUUCAGACUGUGGGCCUGAAAAACAGUAUGCAGUUUUCUGGUAUCUAUACCAUAGUGACAAUGCAAGGUACACUCUUGGCCCUGAUUCCUUCAUCUCACCAUUCAUAACUGGAGUUUAAUGGCUGAAAUUAGUCAGAGGACACUCCAAAGACAGAGGUGUCACACUGGGUUGGAACACAUUUGGGUAUUACAUUUAAAACUGUGAUACUUUUGUAAUGCAUCUUGGCCUAAAUUCCGCAUUAUGUUUCCUGUGACCAAAUACCUCUACAUUUCAACUUUUAUUUAUCUACAUCUAUCAAGGCUAGAGUUCCAUCAGAUAUGUUACUUUUCAUAUAUUUUUCCUGUGAAUGAAACCAUCAUUUUUAUACUGAAGUACAUUCAAUUCAGGCAUGUUCUGUUUUCACUCAAGGAACUGGUUCAUGAUCUCUUAGAAAAAUAAUUAAAUAUUCAAGAAUUUUUGACUGCAAAGCUAGUUUUAAAGCAGCCUUUAAUUAACUGAUCACAAUAACAUAUUGCUACCUUUUAACUUGAAAUAACAACACUGCACUGUUCUUUCCUAUGUUGCUAUAUUCAGCUGAAAACGCCCUGACUGUUCAUGUUUCUCUGGGAAAUUCAAGCAGUCUGCAGCAGCAAAAGUGUUCUGCAUACCUGGAACUGAUGUCCUUGAUACAUUAAUCCAUCAUUGAAGCUACCUGAUUGUGUCAGAAGGAUUAUGCUGUACAGUCCAAUACUUAACAGACUAAAACUAACAGGCUAAAGAGUAACAAAAUUAUCUUAGUUAAGGCUUUAAGAAAAGGAAAUUGCUGAUAUACCUUAUCAAAAAGUAGUUAAAUGAAAGGGAGGUGCACUAGAGACAUCUGAUGCGAACUAACAUCUUUGGUGCUAUUAUUAUUUAUUAGUUGGAAUACACCCAGCAGAUUACCCAUGAUAAAGGCACACCAAAACUCCUAGUGCCUUAAAAACGGAGAGUUUGGGAUGUCUAAAGGCAGAGUUUAAAUAGAAAGCACUAGCAUGAGUUUGUUCUCUGUUCAUAUGGAAACUUUGUUCUGCCCACUUCUAUGCUGAUUUUAUUGCUCUGGAGAGUACAGUAAAAAAUACUUCAGUGACUUGAACUCGAUGUAGCUUUCAAAUAUAUCUUAGGUUCCUGACUGCUACAAAACCAAUAAGUUUCUUUAACUACUGCAACAGUAUAAUUAUGAGUAAUUUCUUCUUGGAGUGAAGGUAUUUCUCUUUUGCAACUUCCCACGCUUUAUAAGUAAAAAAUGUAAUGAUCAGGGACUACUUGAAGAGAUGUAAACAUUGAACAAAUGACCACAAAUAAAGGUGUGUCCAGGUUUCUAGCUGAUGUGUUUUUGGAGGUACUGCAGGGAUUUAAGGAACUUAUCUUUAUUUAUUUAGCUGCUAUUAUUUGGCUGUUAAAAUUCAAGUUAAGCAAUUAAGUAAUUGUUCUGUUAAGUAAUUACAUAGCUAAAUCAGUAGUUAAGUACCCUGUUGCAUGAGAAGAUAAAAAAAUCCAAGCUAAUUGUACAGAAUCAUCAAGAGUUGAAGUAAUUUAAGAGCAAGUAUCUCACUGAUUCUUCCUUCACAUGUUUCCAGCUGAUGGUUUUAGCCUUUUUGUAAAUUGCAUCCCUACUGCUGCACUUAACUUCUACUGCCAUGAAGAAAUGGAAGUAGGCUUGCUGAUUACAAGAGAAGAGAUUUUCUAUUAAGAAAACAGCUCAUCAGGAAAUCCAGCAGCUAUAACUCUUAACUUCAUGACACAUGGAGUAUUUAUUAAGGCCUCAUCUCUCAGAGUCCUGCAAACAGCAUCUCCAUUUUUCACUCAAAAUCGUGUUUAUACUAAGAGCUAUGGAGAGAAGUGCGAAGAACAAUGCCUUACAACAUUAAAAUCCCAAAGCACAGCAAAAACUGCAUUUUUAUUUUGUAUUUGAAGUAUCCUUGCUUCCCUCAAACAGUCUUGAUAUUUCUAGAAGAGUAGCAUUGACAGUGUGGUUGUGGAGUGUGUGGACACAGGAACAGAGAUGUAGUCAAAACCCCUUGUGCCUACAGAUGGGUAUCUUGGCCCAUUUACUGUCUUAUUUCUGACACCAAUACUGUAACGGCAAUCCAGGGAGACUGAAAGAAUCACUGCCCAUUCUCCUGUGUUUGUUCUUUACUGCUGCUCUUGCAGUGGUAUUUUCACCUUUUCUAUGUGAAGGAAUUACUUUUAGCUCUUUAAGAUAUUUAAGAGUUCAGAAGGAAAUGCUCUUUAAAAUACUUCAGAUGAAUAGGGUCCUACCUUUCUUCCUUGUACAAACCUGGACUAAGUUCUGUGAGUUCUUUUGUACAAAGGUUUAUGAUAAGGUCAGAUUAUCUAUGUUGAGAGCUGUGAACUUUUCCAUGAAAGAAAAGAAACUUCUUGGUUCAUUUGAGAUUGUAUCUUUCUGCCAUGCUUUUCAUGUGGGGGAGAAUGGGUUUAAUUUUAUACUGUUUUUCAAUUGUACUGCUUUCUUAAUAGUGUGCAGCAUUCAGCCUAAUUGGACAAAAGUUAAUAUAGGUUCAACUGUAAACCAUAAAAGAAAAAGAAGAUUGGUGGAAAUCACAGUUUAAGACAUCUGGAGCACCUCAGGCUAUUAAGGUCUAGUCAGUUAAGAUGUUUAGCUCUGUCCUGAUAAUAUUAUGUUGUGCUAUUCCCCAGCUUGUGUAGAAGCAGAAUUGAACCCAAAUGAUCUACUGCUUAAGAGUAUAAUCAUCUCUUUGUUAAUGGGAAGUCUUGGCCAAGCUUUUGGAGUUUGUGUAAGAUCAUUAUACAAGGUUAUUAAAUUACAUCCCACAUGGCACCAUGCAGGUAGAUCAUCCUUACUGAAAUAUGAGUGCUAAACUUAAGUAAAUCAUAGAGGGAUGUGCUCAGUAAAGCAAGUACUUAAAAGGUUUUAGCAAAUCUGCAGUGUUUCACUCUCUUCCCUUUCCCAUAUAUUUAAUAUUUUAGAAUGGAAUAGAUAAAAAAACUGGCAACAUCUUCUCUUCUAAAGGGACAGCCAGGUUAACAGUCUAUUUAUAAAGCCACGAGUUUUCCUUAUGUAUCAAAGUUGAAUAAGUUUCCUUAUUCAUCAAAGUUGAAAAUAGUGUAUGUUUGGCAGACAAACUCUCAAAUUUGUCCAAACUACAUUUUUCUUUUGGACCCCAUGUAAAAUUUGGAGAAAUAAAACCUUGGAGAAAUAAAAACCCACAUGUCAAUACAUCUUCCAUCAUAGAUUGAUAUUUGCAAUGUGAUCUUUGAUGUAAUUUUUAUAUUGAUUCUUUCGUCUUUAGAAAAUGUUCAGAAGUGUAAUGGUAAUGGAAAAACUAACUUGCUGGAAAACUCUUGAUAAAAGGGAUGUUCCCCUAAAAUACUCACAGAAAUGUUUUGUAAACAUUUAAGAUGUGAGUUUCAGUGUUAAAACUGAGUUCAGUGCACUGAAUUUAGCGUUUCCUGAUGUUGAGAGGGAACCUCCCGUGUUACAGCUUGUUUUCCUUGUCUCUGAUGUCAUGUCACUGGGCACCAUGGAAAGGACCAUGGCUCCAUCUUCUUUGUUCACUCACUUCUGGUUAUUUAUACAUAUUGAUAAGAUCUUUCAGAGCCUUCUCUUCUCCAAGUGGAACCAUGUCAGGUCUCUCAGCAUUUCCUCACAGGGGAGGAGUUCCAGUCCUUUAUUCAUUUUAGAGGCCCUUUGUUGGAAUCUGCAGUAUACCCAGGGCUAUCACAAUGAAGAGCCCAGAACUGGAUAUAGUGCUCCAAGUGUGGUUAAUAGUGCCACAAGCAACAUUUAAAAAGGAACUGCAAUUGAGGAAUAUUUUGGGGGGCUACUUAAAAAAAUGCAAUUAUAUUUACAUUUCGGGAUGACUUCAGAGUGAAGGAGAGAACUGUUCUCAAGGUCAAUGCAGGUUAAACGUUCUGUGAAAGAAAUGUUAUGAUGUUAUGUUAUGUUAUGUUAUGUUAUGUUAUGGCCCUUUUAAUGGACAGCCUUGCUGAAGGUGUUGUUUUCUUCCUCUGCUCUUGUGUGACUUAUUUUAUCUCCCUACCUGCAGAUAUUGCAGCUCAGCAGGAGCUCAAAGGCAGAUGGAAACUACCAGUGUGCACUGUACUUGAACUUCUUAAAUAAAGGACAAUAUCUCCCUCAAACUUAGACUAGCACAGAGCAAAAUUUGUAACUAUGCAAGAGAGGAAAGAACUAGUGAUUUAAAUCAAUCUGACUUUCCUAAAUUCUUUGUUCUUCUGAAAAUCUAUAAGAAAAUAUACUUUCUUCUGGAUUUUACCUUAAAGAGGUUAUAUUAAUUUUACAUAAUGAUAGCCACAACACAAGUAAUUACAACUUUUCUAAACUGUUAGUCCUUUCUAGGAUAUUUUUUUGAGAUUUUUGUUCUCAUAUGUGGAAUGUAAUUUCUGUAAAGGUAAGAUACUCAAGGCUUGGCAAAAUUUAUUUACCAAUUAUUUCUAGUGCAGUUACUCUAGCUUUUUUCCAUUAGUUUAGAGAUGGUUUCUGCUUUAGGAAAUAUUCAGCUCAAGGAUGUAUUUCUUUUGUCAGGUCACCCAACAGAUCACUAUUCCAGCUGUCAGCUUCAUUCUUUCCUUCAGAAUAAUAUUACCAUUCAUAUUCCAUCUUGUAUGAUAGAUACAUUUAAUUACUAGACAAUCUGCAGUGUCCUUACUCCUGGCUACAACUAUUUUCCAAGCAAUUCCUUCAUAUAUUUGAGACAAUUAAAGGUGACAGUUCUGUACUGUUCAAAGAAAUGGAAAUGUAUCCCUUCAAAGGGUAGCUACAUGAAUAAAAACCCUCCAAAUCACUAGCAAGCAAGCCUAAUGGUUUCAACUAAUUCUAAUAAAUGAGCCUAGUCUCA